Molecule: ribosomal RNA, 2905 nt
Filed under: Escherichia coli
Lineage: Bacteria; Pseudomonadati; Pseudomonadota; Gammaproteobacteria; Enterobacterales; Enterobacteriaceae
Description: 23S ribosomal RNA
Rfam family: Bacterial large subunit ribosomal RNA
Source: RNAcentral
UUAAGCGACUAAGCGUACACGGUGGAUGCCCUGGCAGUCAGAGGCGAUGAAGGACGUGCUAAUCUGCGAUAAGCGUCGGUAAGGUGAUAUGAACCGUUAUAACCGGCGAUUUCCGAAUGGGGAAACCCAGUGUGUUUCGACACACUAUCAUUAACUGAAUCCAUAGGUUAAUGAGGCGAACCGGGGGAACUGAAACAUCUAAGUACCCCGAGGAAAAGAAAUCAACCGAGAUUCCCCCAGUAGCGGCGAGCGAACGGGGAGCAGCCCAGAGCCUGAAUCAGUGUGUGUGUUAGUGGAAGCGUCUGGAAAGGCGCGCGAUACAGGGUGACAGCCCCGUACACAAAAAUGCACAUGCUGUGAGCUCGAUGAGUAGGGCGGGACACGUGGUAUCCUGUCUGAAUAUGGGGGGACCAUCCUCCAAGGCUAAAUACUCCUGACUGACCGAUAGUGAACCAGUACCGUGAGGGAAAGGCGAAAAGAACCCCGGCGAGGGGAGUGAAAAAGAACCUGAAACCGUGUACGUACAAGCAGUGGGAGCACAGAGCAAUCUGUGUGACUGCGUACCUUUUGUAUAAUGGGUCAGCGACUUAUAUUCUGUAGCAAGGUUAACCGAAUAGGGGAGCCGAAGGGAAACCGAGUCUUAACUGGGCGUUAAGUUGCAGGGUAUAGACCCGAAACCCGGUGAUCUAGCCAUGGGCAGGUUGAAGGUUGGGUAACACUAACUGGAGGACCGAACCGACUAAUGUUGAAAAAUUAGCGGAUGACUUGUGGCUGGGGGUGAAAGGCCAAUCAAACCGGGAGAUAGCUGGUUCUCCCCGAAAGCUAUUUAGGUAGCGCCUCGUGAAUUCAUCUCCGGGGGUAGAGCACUGUUUCGGCAAGGGGGUCAUCCCGACUUACCAACCCGAUGCAAACUGCGAAUACCGGAGAAUGUUAUCACGGGAGACACACGGCGGGUGCUAACGUCCGUCGUGAAGAGGGAAACAACCCAGACCGCCAGCUAAGGUCCCAAAGUCAUGGUUAAGUGGGAAACGAUGUGGGAAGGCCCAGACAGCCAGGAUGUUGGCUUAGAAGCAGCCAUCAUUUAAAGAAAGCGUAAUAGCUCACUGGUCGAGUCGGCCUGCGCGGAAGAUGUAACGGGGCUAAACCAUGCACCGAAGCUGCGGCAGCGACGCUUAUGCGUUGUUGGGUAGGGGAGCGUUCUGUAAGCCUGCGAAGGUGUGCUGUGAGGCAUGCUGGAGGUAUCAGAAGUGCGAAUGCUGACAUAAGUAACGAUAAAGCGGGUGAAAAGCCCGCUCGCCGGAAGACCAAGGGUUCCUGUCCAACGUUAAUCGGGGCAGGGUGAGUCGACCCCUAAGGCGAGGCCGAAAGGCGUAGUCGAUGGGAAACAGGUUAAUAUUCCUGUACUUGGUGUUACUGCGAAGGGGGGACGGAGAAGGCUAUGUUGGCCGGGCGACGGUUGUCCCGGUUUAAGCGUGUAGGCUGGUUUUCCAGGCAAAUCCGGAAAACUAAGGCUGAGGCGUGAUGACGAGGCACUACGGUGCUGAAGCAACAAAUGCCCUGCUUCCAGGAAAAGCCUCUAAGCAUCAGGUAACAUCAAAUCGUACCCCAAACCGACACAGGUGGUCAGGUAGAGAAUACCAAGGCGCUUGAGAGAACUCGGGUGAAGGAACUAGGCAAAAUGGUGCCGUAACUUCGGGAGAAGGCACGCUGAUAUGUAGGUGAAGUCCCUCGCGGAUGGAGCUGAAAUCAGUCGAAGAUACCAGCUGGCUGCAACUGUUUAUUAAAAACACAGCACUGUGCAAACACGAAAGUGGACGUAUACGGUGUGACGCCUGCCCGGUGCCGGAAGGUUAAUUGAUGGGGUUAGCGGUAACGCGAAGCUCUUGAUCGAAGCCCCGGUAAACGGCGGCCGUAACUAUAACGGUCCUAAGGUAGCGAAAUUCCUUGUCGGGUAAGUUCCGACCUGCACGAAUGGCGUAAUGAUGGCCAGGCUGUCUCCACCCGAGACUCAGUGAAAUUGAACUCGCUGUGAAGAUGCAGUGUACCCGCGGCAAGACGGAAAGACCCCGUGAACCUUUACUAUAGCUUGACACUGAACAUUGAGCCUUGAUGUGUAGGAUAGGUGGGAGGCUUAGAAGUGUGGACGCCAGUCUGCAUGGAGCCGACCUUGAAAUACCACCCUUUAAUGUUUGAUGUUCUAACGUGGACCCGUGAUCCGGGUUGCGGACAGUGUCUGGUGGGUAGUUUGACUGGGGCGGUCUCCUCCUAAAGAGUAACGGAGGAGCACGAAGGUUGGCUAAUCCUGGUCGGACAUCAGGAGGUUAGUGCAAUGGCAUAAGCCAGCUUGACUGCGAGCGUGACGGCGCGAGCAGGUGCGAAAGCAGGUCAUAGUGAUCCGGUGGUUCUGAAUGGAAGGGCCAUCGCUCAACGGAUAAAAGGUACUCCGGGGAUAACAGGCUGAUACCGCCCAAGAGUUCAUAUCGACGGCGGUGUUUGGCACCUCGAUGUCGGCUCAUCACAUCCUGGGGCUGAAGUAGGUCCCAAGGGUAUGGCUGUUCGCCAUUUAAAGUGGUACGCGAGCUGGGUUUAGAACGUCGUGAGACAGUUCGGUCCCUAUCUGCCGUGGGCGCUGGAGAACUGAGGGGGGCUGCUCCUAGUACGAGAGGACCGGAGUGGACGCAUCACUGGUGUUCGGGUUGUCAUGCCAAUGGCACUGCCCGGUAGCUAAAUGCGGAAGAGAUAAGUGCUGAAAGCAUCUAAGCACGAAACUUGCCCCGAGAUGAGUUCUCCCUGACUCCUUGAGAGUCCUGAAGGAACGUUGAAGACGACGACGUUGAUAGGCCGGGUGUGUAAGCGCAGCGAUGCGUUGAGCUAACCGGUACUAAUGAACCGUGAGGCUUAACCU